GACGAACGCUGGCGGCGUGCUUAACACAUGCAAGUCGAACGGAAAGGCCCUGCUUUUACUGUACUCGAGUGGCGAACGGGUGAGUAACACGUGGGUGAUCUGCCCUCCACUUCGGGUUAAGCCUCGGAAACUGGGUCUAUUACCGGAUAGGUGCCAUUUUUAGUGUGAUGGUUCGAAAGUUUUUUCUGUGUUGGAUGAGUUUGCGGCCUAUCUGCUUGUUGGUGGGGUUAUGGCCUACCAAGGCGGCGGCGGGUAGCCGGCCUGUGGGGGUGGACGGCCACACUGAGACCGAGGGAAGGCCGAGGAUGCUAAGGGAGGGAACAGGGGGGAAUAUUGAACAAGGGGCGCAAGGAUGAUGCAGCGAGGCCGCGGGGGGGAAGACGGCCUUGUGGGGGUAAACUCCUUUCGGUAGGGACGAAGCGUGUUGUGACGGUACCGAGAUAAGAAGCACCGGCUAACUACGUG
This 465-nucleotide ribosomal RNA is filed under the name uncultured bacterium. Its description in RNAcentral is "partial 16S ribosomal RNA". It matches the Rfam family "Bacterial small subunit ribosomal RNA", at positions 28 to 507 of the family's 1533-position model. The record is from RNAcentral.